GACUGCAGCUCUACCACCCUGAACAGGCCGCAUCACAACUGAAGUUAAGCAGGGUCAGGCCUGAGGGGUCCUUGGAUGGGUGGCAGCAGGGU
This is a ribosomal RNA of Ictidomys tridecemlineatus (thirteen-lined ground squirrel), 92 nucleotides long. The record is from Ensembl. Lineage: Eukaryota; Metazoa; Chordata; Mammalia; Rodentia; Sciuridae.